GAUGAAGAACGUAGCGAAAUGCGAUAAGUAAUGUGAAUUGCAGAAUUCAGUGAAUCAUCGAAUCUUUGAACGCACAUUGCGCCCCUUGGUAUUCCGAGGGGCAUGCCUGUUCGAGCGUCAUUAUAACCCUCAAGCUCAGCUUGGUGUUGGGGCCUGCUGCACUGGCAGCCCUUAAAAUCAGUGGCGGCGCCAUCUGGCUCUAAGCGUAGUAAUUCUUCUCGCUAUGGAGUCCUGGCGGAUGCUUGCCAUCAACCCCCAAUUUUUCUAUGGUUGACCUCGGAUCAGGUAGGGAUACCCGCUGAACUUAAGCAUAUCAAUAAGCGGAGGA
Molecule: unclassified non-coding RNA, 328 nt
Filed under: soil metagenome
Description: partial contains 5.8S ribosomal RNA, internal transcribed spacer 2, and large subunit ribosomal RNA
Rfam family: 5.8S ribosomal RNA (bases 1-120)
Source: RNAcentral